AGUGAAUCCAGAAAUAUACUUGAUGUGUAUUCUAUCUUGAGAUUUGUACUGCUAGGCAUAUGGAAAGGGGAGGAGGGAUAGCAUCAAAGAUUGCAUGACACAUUAAAUGAAAAAGUCUGGAGCAAGUUAUAUAAGCCUAACUGAGCUCUGAAACGGCUCUGAAACGGAAUCUUGCAGCAUAUCCUGGAAAAGCAAAUGGAUACAGUUCCUUGUACCUAUAUCUGUGAACUUUCAUGGGAGCUCAUGCAGUGGAGUAGCUCAGAUGGAAACAAGAUAUGAUUCAGAGAUACAAGCAUGGACACUGUUAUGGUUUGAGACCUUGUGCACUGAACUACAUCCCCGGCCCUAUUAAAGGUUAUAAGCAGAAAAGGAACAAGCUUUUACAUCAUCUUGAAUUGAUUUUUCAAUAUGUUGCUUGGUAAUGGAGAAACUGGCUCAAGAGUAUGAAAGCAAGUCUGGAUGUGGAUGAGAGAUAAUGGUAACUUGAUAAAGAAAGAAGUGAAAACUAGAGAAAUAUGAAGCAAGGUGAGUCAACAAGCACUUGGAGAAAAUGGCUAAGUGUGAAGACAAAUGUAUUUUCAAGCACAUCUGUUCAGGGGUAGCCCAAGGUCAUAAGACUGGAAAAAGAAUCACAGGGUGAAGGGCAGUCUGUCAUUUGUUUUUAUAGUGUGGUUGAAAACAAUUGUGAAACCUAAUGAGAUUGCCAGAAGCACAGAAUCCUGGUUCAAAUAAGUCAGUGGAGGAAGAUAUAGCAUCUAAAGACUCAUGGAAUCACCACAUAGAUCUGUGUCUCUUUAGAAUUUUAAAGACUCACAGCUACAUCACUGUUAUAACAUUGAUCAUAGUGACUGGACACUGUUCUCACUAACGUGUACACUUACUGACUGAUGAAUCCCAUGACAUUCCUCUGGAGUUUAUAAAGUUUGCCCAUUUCUGCCCACCAGCUGAGGGCAACAUCCCAAGGAGAUGCAGAAAACUUCCCAUACAUUGUAUUUCUUGUUUUCUUUUCUCUUACUAAAGAUUUUUUUCUAUGAAAUAGAACCUGUUCAUAGAGAGAUAAAGGAUUGUGAUUGUGUCCUGGGACAGUUGCCUGUGAGACAUUCAAGAAGGGAGUCAACUAGGUGGUUGGAGGCACUGAUGUGGAGUUAGGUUUAUUUGGUUUGAAGCAAUAAGUUUAUAAGAUGUGAACUUAGCGAUAUAAAAC
Heterocephalus glaber (naked mole-rat) is the source of this 1204-nucleotide long non-coding RNA. The record is from Ensembl. Lineage: Eukaryota; Metazoa; Chordata; Mammalia; Rodentia; Bathyergidae.